AUGUGCCCUAAGGCAUAUGUGCUGCGCAUGGCCAUGAGGGAUAUUUGGAUCUUGCCUGCGGAGGAGGCUCUCAAGUAUACUGGGGCUGAUUGGUUUCUUAUUCUUUUGGAUCAAUUAAGCCCUACUAUGCGUGACCAAAUUAUUUUCAUUUUCUGGAGAGCCUGGCAUUUGAGUAACGACAUGAUUUUUGAGGUUGACUCGAAAAAUAAAGAGACUGACUGUGCGUUCGUGGUGGCGACCCUGGAAAAUAAAAUUUUUGACAGGUCAUCGUUGGUGGAUUUGAAGAAGGAAGCGAUGAGUAUCUCCAAGCUUAUAUCUAGUCUUAAGAUCUCCAAGAUCAAUCGCUCGGCCAAUGUGAUGGCCCAUAUAAUUGCUAAAUUUAGCUUUGAUAAUAGAUCAGAUGAGAGGCUGGCUGCUGGCGGAGACACGGAGAUGACUCUUCGCUCGCAGUCGCCCGUGGUGAAAGCGACGCUGACAGAUUGGAGACAGCUCCUUCCCGCUCCCCAGCCGCGGGGCGACGCAUAG
Molecule: ribosomal RNA, 525 nt
Filed under: Triticum aestivum (bread wheat)
Lineage: Eukaryota; Viridiplantae; Streptophyta; Magnoliopsida; Poales; Poaceae
Description: partial small subunit ribosomal RNA
Source: RNAcentral